UACGUAGGGUGCAAGCGUUGUCCGGAAUUAUUGGGCGUAAAGAGCUCGUAGGCGGUCUGUCGCGUCGGAUGUGAAAAUCCAGGGCUCAACCCUGGACCUGCAUUCGAUACGGGCAGACUAGAGUUCGGUAGGGGAGACUGGAAUUCCCGGUGUAGCGGUGAAAUGCGCAGAUAUCAGGAGGAACACCGGUGGCGAAGGCGGGUCUCUGGGCCGAAACUGACGCUGAGGAGCGAAAGCGUGGGGAGCAAACAGG
RNAcentral lists this ribosomal RNA (253 nucleotides) under uncultured bacterium. RNAcentral describes it as "partial 16S ribosomal RNA". It matches the Rfam family "Bacterial small subunit ribosomal RNA", at positions 524 to 776 of the family's 1533-position model. The record is from RNAcentral.